AGCGAACGCUGGCGGCAGGCCUAACACAUGCAAGUCGAACGAACUCUUCGGAGUUAGUGGCGGACGGGUGAGUAACACGUGGGAACGUGCCCUUAGGUUCGGAAUAACUCAGGGAAACUUGUGCUAAUACCGAAUGUGCUCUUCGGGGGAAAGAUUUAUCGCCUUUGGAUGGGCCCGCGUAUGAUUAGCUAGUUGGUGAGGUAAUGGCCCACCAAGGCGACGAUCAGUAGCUGGUCUGAGAGGAUGAUCAGGCACAGUGGGGAUGAGGCACGGCCCAAACUCCUACGGGAGGGAGCAGUGGGGAAUCUUGCGGAAUGGGCGAAAGCCUGACGCAGCCAUGCCGCGUGAAUGAUGAAGGUCUUAGGAUUGUAAAAUUCUUUCACCGGGGGCGAUAAUGACGGUACCCGGAGAAGAAGCCCCGGCUAACUUCGUG
This 433-nucleotide ribosomal RNA is filed under the name uncultured bacterium. RNAcentral describes it as "partial 16S ribosomal RNA". It matches the Rfam family "Bacterial small subunit ribosomal RNA", at positions 29 to 507 of the family's 1533-position model. The record is from RNAcentral.